CCCACCUUAUCUCAGCAAUAGAGCAGGGCAUUCGUAAUGCUCAGGUCCGCGGUCCAAAUCCGCGAGGUGGCU
Molecule: transfer RNA, 72 nt
Filed under: bacterium (Candidatus Ratteibacteria) CG23_combo_of_CG06-09_8_20_14_all_48_7
Lineage: Bacteria; Candidatus Ratteibacteria
Description: tRNA-Thr
Rfam family: tRNA
About the family: Transfer RNA (tRNA) molecules are approximately 80 nucleotides in length. Their secondary structure includes four short double-helical elements and three loops (D, anti-codon, and T loops). Further hydrogen bonds mediate the characteristic L-shaped molecular structure. tRNAs have two regions of fundamental functional importance: the anti-codon, which is responsible for specific mRNA codon recognition, and the 3' end, to which the tRNAs corresponding amino acid is attached (by aminoacyl-tRNA synthetases). tRNAs cope with the degeneracy of the genetic code in two manners: having more than one tRNA (with a specific anti-codon) for a particular amino acid; and 'wobble' base-pairing, i.e. permitting non-standard base-pairing at the 3rd anti-codon position.
Source: RNAcentral